CCUACGGGAGGCAGCAGUGGGGAAUAUUGCGCAAUGGGCGAAAGCCUGACGCAGCGACGCCGCGUGAGGGAUGACGGCCUUCGGGUUGUAAACCUCUUUCAGCAGGGAAGAAGCGCAAGUGACGGUACCUGCAGAAGAAGCACCGGCUAACUACGUGCCAGCAGCCGCGGUAAUACGUAGGGUGCAAGCGUUGUCCGGAAUUAUUGGGCGUAAAGAGCUCGUAGGCGGUCUGUCGCGUCUGGUGUGAAAACUCCAGGGCUUAACCCUGGACCUGCAUCGGGUACGGGCAGACUAGAGUGCGGUAGGGGAGAUCGGAAUUCCUGGUGUAGCGGUGAAAUGCGCAGAUAUCAGGAGGAACACCGGUGGCGAAGGCGGAUCUCUGGGCCGUAACUGACGCUGAGGAGCGAAAGCAUGGGGANCGAACNGGAUUAGAUACCCUGGUAGUCCAUGCGUAACGUAGGUCGCGUAGUGUGGCGU
This 477-nucleotide ribosomal RNA is filed under the name uncultured bacterium. RNAcentral's name for it is "bacterial SSU rRNA". It matches the Rfam family "Bacterial small subunit ribosomal RNA", at positions 338 to 828 of the family's 1533-position model. The record is from RNAcentral.